AUGCAGCUAACCCAAUUACCAAUUGUUCUGGAUGUGCGAAGCGCCGUGCGAAUGCUAAGUCAUAAUGUUAUGGCUUCAUCUGAAAGAUGUGCAUAUCACCCAGGAGCAUCAGCUAUCAAAUGGGCAGUGUUAAAGGAAGGUUAUAAACUGGGGAAGCGAAGAGGUAAAUGUGCCAACACAAGGAAAGAAAUCAAGAUCUAUUUAGCUUUCCCCACCGGCCCUGUCAAUCGUUCCGAGGAAGACAGUUCCUGCCACACAGCUCGGGAAAUAGGCCCCAGAGGGCCAAGAAACAGUUCCAUCCCCUCUUCUCAAAAUCAAGGGAGAGAUGUGGGUUCUGGUUACAGCAUCUUUGAAAAGGGUACCACUUGGAAAUUUCAGGAACAGGCAGAAGUAUGGGGGAUCAAGAUCAAGAAAGUCGCCCGGCUAUCCCCGAGGCCAUUGAAGGUCAGCACAGUCGUGGCGUUCCCUGCACCGGCAGCCUACCUGACCCAUCAGCAGAAGGUGUUGAGGCUUUAAAAGCGGGCGCUGCACCACCUCCAGUUGUGGUGCAUCCAAAGUGACAAAUACCAAUACUUUGCUUAUCUGAUGAGAGCCUGGUUUGAAGAACGUAAGAAUGAAAAAGAUAUGAUGAAGGCCACCCAGCUGCUGAAGGAGGCUGAGGAAGAAUUCUGGUACUGUCAGCAUCCACAGCCAUACAUCUUCCCUGACUCUCCUAGGGGUGCCUCUUAUGUGACAUAUGAGUGCUACAAGGUACCAGAAUGGUGCUUAGAAGACUGGCAUCCUUCUGAGAAGGCAGUGUAUCCUGAUUACUUUGCCAAGAGAAAAUGGUGGAAGAAACUGCGGAGGGAAAGCUGGAAAUGAGAGGUUAAGCAGCUGCAGAAGCAAAUGCCACCUGCCCAAAAGGAAGGUGAUUUGCCCCCACUGUGGUGGCAUAUUGUGACCAGACCCCGGGAGCAGCCCAUGUAGAGAGAGAGAGAGAGAGACCUCAUCUUUCAUGCUUACGCGUGAAAUACAUUACAGAACAUACACUUGCUCUAAUAAAAAAUCUGUGAAAUGG
RNA transcript from Rhinopithecus roxellana (golden snub-nosed monkey), 1057 nucleotides. It is a transcript of the gene named NADH dehydrogenase [ubiquinone] 1 beta subcomplex subunit 9-like, with no coding region annotated. NCBI's taxonomy places the organism in Eukaryota, Metazoa, Chordata, Mammalia, Primates, Cercopithecidae. The record is from RefSeq and is a predicted model, not a curated record. The transcript is spliced from 6 exons.